Molecule: small RNA, 97 nt
Filed under: Aliiglaciecola lipolytica E3
Lineage: Bacteria; Pseudomonadati; Pseudomonadota; Gammaproteobacteria; Alteromonadales; Alteromonadaceae
Source: RNAcentral
UGAAGACUUCUCCCUGAAGAAGUUAAGUUAGCGCAAGGCUCUGAGAAUGGGCCAUUCCCCUAAGCCCGGAACUAGAAAUAGUGCCGGGCCUUUUUAU